GGAGGAGGAGCGGGGACGGGGACGGGGACGGGCUGCGGCUGGAGACGAGCCCCCGAAAGGCGGGAGCGGGGCGGGAGGCCGGAGGCUUUGCGCGGGAAGUCCGGCCCCGCCGUCCGGCCCCGGCCCCGGCCCCGGCCUGGCCGUCCGCGGCGGCCGCAGCGCGCUGCCCCCUCACGGAGUCUCCAGCUGACGUAUCAAGGUGUUUUCCUCUCUUUUUUUUUUUAAUUUUGGGUCUUUUGACUCCACUACAGCAAAAUGGUGCCCAGAUCUCCAAGUUCUCUGGAGGCCGGUGGUACUUAAAUCUCCAGCCUACACGCAUACGUGUUUGUUCACGCGCCAACAGUGUUUUUCCAGUUCAACCUGCUGCUUUAUUUCUUUUCUAAAAGUACAUCGUCCCCUCUCACCCUCCUAGGCUAGAUGUGCUGAGGGUUUUUUUGGGUUUUUUUUGGUCUUUUGUAAAGUAGGUUCUUCAUUAAUCUGUUUGCCAUAAGCUGCUUAAAAAUAAUCAUUGGCUGCAUCAGGAGCUGAGCGUUUAAAAAAAAACCAAACAAACCUCACAUCCCUCCUAAAUUCUGCAGUUUUGAAUUUCUUGAAUGUCUGGAACUGGCAUUUGUGCUUAACAUCCUACAGAAGGGCGACAUCCCUGCAUUCUCCAUGUACUCAACAGCACAAGUUUGGGUUCAUGAAGAAAGUUAGGUAAACCAAGCGGGUAACAGCAAGUGGCAAUGCCAAGAAGACUAAAAAUUAGAGAGGAUACUCUCUGCUUUAUGGAUCUUGGAGAUAUCUCCGUUACACAAUGUUACACAACAUUUACGCACCAAAUACUGCAGAAUGGGAAGUAAGCCAUCUCUGAUCUGUUUCCCUCUGGAAAGUUUUGAAACUGCUCAGCAAUUUAAUCAAGUCUGCAGAGCCUCAGAGAUACUAAAUACCUCCAGUUUUUGUGGAAAUAGCUGCUCAGGUAAAGAGAGACCCUGGAAUAGGAUAAAGGGAGAACAAUGGAAUCCUGGCUGUGUUAAUUCUGCUGCUCACAGAACUGCUUGUUAAAAUAGGUUACAACAAGGUUGCUCCCACCCAUUUAAGAACAGAAAACCUCAGAUGUGCCUGUGGAAGGGUUGCUUGCGCUUAGCAACACUACUAGAAAUAGAAUGGUUAGAUAAAUGAUACAGAACUUUAUAAAGAUGAGAAGCAUUCUUGAUGAAAAACUAAAAGCUGUGACAACUAUUUUGUCUCUGAAGCAAACCUGUUACUCCAGAACGUCAUGGCUGUUGCAGAGAAGUUGGGAUCUUCCAGGUUAAUAGUCAAUGCAUGCACACUGUAAAGCAACAAAGUAGCAUGUAUGCUUGAGGGAUCCUUUCAGGGAACAAAGGAUUCUCCCAGGUUGCUUCUUGAGAUGUUCCCACCUGCAUGCACAGACUCUGACUACGCCGUCUGCUGAGGGUGGCCCUGAGGUCCUUCUCCAGACUAGACUCACCUGUCCACCCAAGUGUGAAUCUGCUCACGUGUGCCUGGUAUGUCAAUCUCCCUGUGGAAGCAACUGUGGCAGUAAUUUGUGCACCAUGCUUUCAAGCAGUAAUGCAGGAUGAAAGAGACAGAAUGAGCAUACCCCUCACUAGAUUGCUGUUGAGGUGUUUGUCUCCGCUGAUUUAGCCAGAACGCUUCUGCUCGUACCACUCACUCCAUCCAAAACCAGAUUUUCUUACUCUAUCCCAGGAUUAGGCUAGGGAUGAGGAGGCUCCAGUAGGAUACCCCUAAGAAUCUGUGCCAAGGCUACCCUUAAUUUAAGAUCUUAGUUAAAUAUCUGGAAGAGAAGAUAAAGAGCGCAUUAGUGGCAUUUACAGAGUAUUAAGCUGGGAGAGAUUGAAAGCUGUAUUCAGGGUAGAAACAUAAACUACCUGAAAAUGAUAAACAUGAGCAGAAAUUAAUGGAAGCUCAGUUGGGAAGACUGUGAGUCUUUAUCUGAGGUGAUUUAAGUUCCUUGAACCCAUCUAUUAAACUGAAGAAAUCUGAAAGUAAUAAUGCCAGGAGUCAAAGAAUAAAGGCAAAAAUGAAGCAGACAUCAAAUACUGCUGUAUGAAGAAGGCUGCAGAAAGGCUAGUGCAGUUGAGGAUUUGAAUUUUCAUUUCACCCUCAAAAGGAACUUUUCCUGCUGUAGAAGUAUGAGUCUGGCCACCAUUCCUGCCGCCGUGUCUGCUGAUCUCCCCAGCUGUACCACCUAAAAUAGUGGAGGUAAGUCCAAGAGAAAGGGAGGAACCAGACACCACUGCUGCUUCCCGCAUUUUCAAAUAGCACCGGUGCAUGCAACUGCCGUGCUUCUGCCUGGGAGAGGAAGCAUGAUCCUCUUGUGGGUCAGACUCGCGAGCUGGGAGAUUCUGCUCUAGGCAGAAUGUUUUACACACAGCUGUUUUGCUUCAUGCAGUAGUUGAUAUGAUUUGAUUUGGUAUCCAGAACUACAAAGUAUUUCCCUUCCAGCUGUGAGGAUCCCCUGUGAUCUUCUGAUGUCUGGGGUGAAGAACACCAUUCCCUGUAAAAGUGGUCUUUGAAACACUGUACUCGGGGCACCUUGGCUCUGCUUCCAGCUCUGCUGUCAUUAGCUUGUGCUAUGCCUGGCUUGAGCCAUCUAUAAAAGAAAUAACAUGGUUGUGAGGGAUAUAGUGAAGGCUGCAGGCACUCAGAGACUCCUCACUCUUUAUUCUCUUAGUUUCUCAUUCGCCCAGCAGAAACUGGGUGCUGGGCAAACGAGGCUGCUCCUUCUUGCUCUGAGAACACCAGCGUCUUCAGUCUUGCCUUACAUGUCUUGAGAAGAUAAUUAUGCUUGUACAGUUUACAUUACCCAUGUGUAGUUCCUUAUCUUUGAAGGAAUUAUUUGCAGAGAGGGGCAGAGAGGAUUUGGCCCUUAAUGAAUUCAAUUCCUUUCACUUAGCUGCCAGUAGAUGGCUCUCUGAAUUUGCAGUCCCUUAUUUACUACAUUGUUUGUUGAAUUAUGUUGGACACAUUUUCACUGGAAACUGUUUUCAGCGUGUUGGCUUUGAGGAAGUUUACGUAAGAAGAACAAGGAAGCAAUGGACUGGGUAAAUAGACUGCUAACAAACAAGACACAGGAUCGGUUCGCUUUUUGCAAAAUGUUUUACGGCUACAAUCCAAAAGAUUUUUCUUGUUCAGGACCUAAUCUUAUAAUGAUCAGGCUCUACGAGUUACAUCUGUGUUCACAGGAUGCAUUUACCAGACUUGAUUAUAACCGAGUAAAAUUCAUUCUCAAUAAAAAAAAGCAUUUUAGUCAGGUGUUUUAAAAGAUGCCUGUGGUUUAUGGACAGGUACCCUAGUGAAUUGCUUGAAAUGCUUCUUUGUUCACACCCCGUCAGUGUGAGAGAUGUUGUUUCACGGAUACAUGUGUGUUAACAGAGCACUGUGUCUAGGCCGUGAACUUCAGAUAGGUGCUUAGCCCAAAUACAGCUCGCAGAUGUAGACUCAACUGUUCAUUCCUCACCUUUUUGUUACAUGGUUUAUCGGAGAAGACGAAAAGGUGACUUUCAACAUGAUGGUCCAUGUUUUGACAAAUUGCUGGGCUUUUCCCCCAGGCCCCAAAUUAGCAAGGUAACUAGAAGGGAAAUGCAGCAGCUACAGUGGAGACCCAUCACCUUUCACAGUGUCCUUCAACUCCCAGUGUAGUAUAUGCUCAGUCUUUGUCCUGCUGGAGUACUAAUGCAUCCAUGACAAGUGAGGAUCAGUCCCCAGCUUCUCAGAGACCACUUACCCGGAGCAGCAGAUGCUUAUUGAUGAUGGCUGCAUAAAUCAGCUAACCCCUUUUUGGAGGUAGUGAUGUCUUUCAAAGGCUGAUGCAUUCUACCGUUGGAAUCUGGAGUAGAACAAGCUAGGUUCCUUAUUUGCUUUCUAAAACAUGAUGAAGCAUUACAACGUGUUAAGGCAGAGUAACUAUUCAGUAUCCUCAUAAUGCUGAUAAAGUUCCAGGUUUUAAAUUGGUUAGUAGAAAUAGGUAGCCUCUAUCCAAACAAUAAUUUAAAUUAAGGUGGGCUGUAUGGAGGUAUUAAUUGCAGAGUACACAGUCCCUCCGCUGAAGUUAGUCUUGAUUUGUCUUCACCCUCAUUCUGAGGUACCAGUCACCCUUGAGGACAAUACAUAGGCACAAACAACUUUAGGAAAAAUAAGCAGCCUAACACUCCAAAUAUAUCAUCAACUGCAUACAAUUUCACCCUAAUUUAAAAGAAAACAGUUCCGUUUUCUACUGCAGAUAAAAUUUACCACAAAAUGGUUGUUUUUUAAUUGGAGGAAGCUGCUAGUUCCUAAAGAGAUGCCUGAAUUUUUUUUACCUGAUUUUUUU
Aquila chrysaetos chrysaetos is the source of this 4336-nucleotide long non-coding RNA. RefSeq lists it as uncharacterized. The record is from RefSeq and is a predicted model, not a curated record. The transcript is spliced from 3 exons. Lineage: Eukaryota; Metazoa; Chordata; Aves; Accipitriformes; Accipitridae.